RNAcentral lists this ribosomal RNA (501 nucleotides) under uncultured bacterium. RNAcentral's name for it is "partial 16S ribosomal RNA". It matches the Rfam family "Bacterial small subunit ribosomal RNA", at positions 30 to 523 of the family's 1533-position model. The record is from RNAcentral.
AUUGAACGCUGGCGGCAGGCUUAACACAUGCAAGUCGAGCGGAGAGAGGUAGCUUGCUACUGAUCUUAGCGGCGGACGGGUGAGUAAUGCUUAGGAAUCUGCCUAUUAGUGGGGGACAACAUUUCGAAAGGAAUGCUAAUACCGCAUACGUCCUACGGGAGAAAGCAGGGGAUCUUCGGACCUUGCGCUAAUAGAUGAGCCUAAGUCGGAUUAGCUAGUUGGUGGGGUAAAGGCCUACGAAGGCGACGAUCUGUAGCGGGUCUGAGAGGGUGAUCCGCCACACUGGGACUGAGACACGGCCCAGACUCCUACGGGAGGCAGCAGUGGGGAAUAUUGGACAAUGGGCGGAAGCCUGAUCCAGCCAUGUCGCGUGUGUGAAGAAGGCCUUAUGGUUGUAAAGCACUUUAAGCGAGGAGGAGGCUACUUUAGUUAAUACCUAGAGAUAGUGGACGUUACUCGCAGAAUAAGCACCGGCUAACUCUGUGCCAGCAGCCGCCGUAA